UGAGGAAUUUUGCGCAAUGGGGGAAACCCUGACGCAGCGACGCCGCGUGGGUGAUGAAGGCUUUCGAGUCGUAAAGCCCUGUCAAGUGGAAAGAAUUGUCGAUGUGCUAAUACCGCAUUGAUUUGACGGUACCACUAAAGGAAGCACCGGCUAACUCCGUGCCAGCAGCCGCGGUAAUACGGAGGGUGCAAGCGUUGUUCGGAAUUACUGGGCGUAAAGGGCGCGUAGGCGGCGCUGUAAGUCGGAUGUGAAAGUCCACGGCUUAACCGUGGAAGUGCAUCUGAUACUGCAGUGCUUGAGUAUCGGAGGGGAAAGUAGAAUUCCCGGUGUAGAGGUGAAAUUCGUAGAUAUCGGGAGGAAUACCGGUGGCGAAGGCGACUUUCUGGACGAAUACUGACGCUGAUGCGCGAAAGCGUGGGGAGCAAACAGG
Molecule: ribosomal RNA, 430 nt
Filed under: uncultured bacterium
Lineage: Bacteria
Description: bacterial SSU rRNA
Rfam family: Bacterial small subunit ribosomal RNA
Source: RNAcentral